GCAGCAGGCACGCAAAUUACCCACUCCCGGCACGGGGAGGUAGUGACAAAAAAUAACGAUACGGGACUCUAUUGAGGCCCCGUAAUCGGAAUGAGUACACUUUAAAUCCUUUAACAAGGAUCCAUUGGAGGGCAAGUCUGGUGCCAGCAGCCGCGGUAAUUCCAGCUCCAAUAGCGUAUAUUAAAGUUGUUGCGGUUAAAAAGCUCGUAGUUGGUUCUGCGUGCCGCGCUGUCGGUUCGCCGCCUGUCGGUGUAACUGGCAUGUCGCGGCAUGUCCUGUCGGUGGUGAACGCAAUGCACCGGUACUUGCUAAGGCAAUAGCCGAAGUAUUGUGUCGUGUGCGAUUACGUUUGCCGAUCUCUCCUACUCCGGUGCUCUUAAACGAGUGUCGAGGUAGGCCGACACGUUCACUUUGAACAAAUUAGAGUGCUUAAAGCAGGCUGAAAUAUCUGCCUGAAUAGUGGUGCAUGGAAUGAUAAAAUAGGACCUCGGUUCUAUUUUGUUGGUUUUAGGAAUAUGAGGUAAUGAUCAAUGUGGACUGGCGGGGGCAUUCGUAUUGCGACGUUAGAGGUGAAAUUCUUGGAUCGUCGCAAGACGCACUAGAGCGAAAGCAUUUGCCAAGUAUGUCUUAAUUGAUCAAGAACGAAAGUUAGAGGUUCGAAGGCGAUCAGAUACCGCCCUAGUUCUAACCAUAAACGAUGCCAGCCAGCGAUCCGCCGAUGUUCCUUUAAUGACUCGGCGGGGAGCUUCUACUCGGGAAACCAAAGCUUUUGGGUUCCGGGGGAAGUAUGGUUGCAAAGCUGAAACUUAAAGGAAUUGACGGAAGGGCACCACCAGGAGUGGAGCCUGCGGCUUAAUUUGACUCAACACGGGAAACCUCACCAGGCCAGGACAUUGGAAGGAUUGACAGAUUGAUAGCUCUUUCUUGAUUCAGUGGGUAGUGGUGCAUGGCCGUUC
This 956-nucleotide ribosomal RNA is filed under the name Stenolemoides arizonensis. RNAcentral's name for it is "SSU rRNA". It matches the Rfam family "Eukaryotic small subunit ribosomal RNA", at positions 425 to 1293 of the family's 1831-position model. The record is from RNAcentral. Lineage: Eukaryota; Metazoa; Arthropoda; Insecta; Hemiptera; Reduviidae.